RNAcentral lists this ribosomal RNA (267 nucleotides) under uncultured bacterium. RNAcentral's name for it is "partial 16S ribosomal RNA". It matches the Rfam family "Bacterial small subunit ribosomal RNA", at positions 524 to 776 of the family's 1533-position model. The record is from RNAcentral.
UACGUAGGUGGCAAGCGUUGUCCGGAUUUACUGGGCGUAAAGAGUAUGUAGGCGGACAUUUAAGUAGAAAGUGAAAGGUUGGAGCUCAACUCCGACACUGCUUCCUAUACUGGGUGUCUUGAGUGCCGGAGAGGAAAGCGGAACGACACGUGUAGCGGUGAAAUGCGUUGAUAUGUGUCGGAACACCAAUGGCGAAGGCAGCUUUCUGGACGGAGCCGCAAGGCUUAAAACUGACGCUGAGAUGCGAAAGCCGAGGGAGCGAACAGG